Molecule: long non-coding RNA, 388 nt
Filed under: Brassica rapa (field mustard)
Lineage: Eukaryota; Viridiplantae; Streptophyta; Magnoliopsida; Brassicales; Brassicaceae
Description: long non-coding RNA (BRAP_LNC007469)
Source: RNAcentral
AAGAAGCCUUCUUCUUCUUUGAAGAAGAAACAGAAGAUCCGCCUUUUUUAGCAACGCUGCUCAGCUUUUUGUCGUCGCUCUGGCACCAGUCGCAAAUCUCGGUCGGCUCCGCAAACUCACUGUAGUAAUUACUACAAUAACUACAUAUAUUCAAAUUACGAAAUCCGUUAGUUGACUAUAUAUAUAUAUAUAUAUGAUCAUGCAUGCACUAUAUAUGGCCUAGGAGAAGGUACGUACGAGUGUUGAAAGCGGUUGCGGCAGUGCCCGCAGCGGAAUAGCUUGUCGGAAAAGCCGACGUCGCCGCACAUGCAGCACACUUUCUCCAUGUUCUUCUCUUAAUUAGCUGUGUUGAUGGUUUUGUUUCUGCCCUGGAGAUGGAGGCUUGGAG